GCUUAACACAUGCAAGUCGAACGGAAAGGCCCUGCUUUUGUGGGGUGCUCGAGUGGCGAACGGGUGAGUAACACGUGAGUAACCUGCCCUUGACUUUGGGAUAACUUCAGGAAACUGGGGCUAAUACCGGAUAGGAGCUCCUGCUGCAUGGUGGGGGUUGGAAAGUUUCGGCGGUUGGGGAUGGACUCGCGGCUUAUCAGCUUGUUGGUGGGGUAGUGGCUUACCAAGGCUUUGACGGGUAGCCGGCCUGAGAGGGUGACCGGCCACAUUGGGACUGAGAUACGGCCCAGACUCCUACGGGAGGCAGCAGUGGGGAAUAUUGCACAAUGGGCGGAAGCCUGAUGCAGCAACGCCGCGUGCGGGAUGACGGCCUUCGGGUUGUAAACCGCUUUCGCCUGUGACGAAGCGUGAGUGACGGUAAUGGGUAAAGAAGCACCGGCUAACUACGUGCCAGCAGCCGCGGUGAUACGUAGGGUGCGAGCGUUGUCCGGAUUUAUUGGGCGUAAAGGGCUCGUAGGUGGUUGAUCGCGUCGGAAGUGUAAUCUUGGGGCUUAACCCUGAGCGUGCUUUCGAUACGGGUUGACUUGAGGAAGGUAGGGGAGAAUGGAAUUCCUGGUGGAGCGGUGGAAUGCGCAGAUAUCAGGAGGAACACCAGUGGCGAAGGCGGUUCUCUGGGCCUUUCCUGACGCUGAGGAGCGAAAGCGUGGGGAGCGAACAGGCUUAGAUACCCUGGUAGUCCACGCUGUAAACGGUGGGUACUAGGUGUGGGGUCCAUUCCACGGGCUCCGUGCCGUAGCUAACGCUUUAAGUACCCCGCCUGGGGAGUACGGCCGCAAGGCUAAAACUCAAAGGAAUUGACGGGGCCCCGCACAAGCGGCGGAGCAUGCGGAUUAAUUCGAUGCAACGCGUAGAACCUUACCUGGGUUUGACAUGGAUCGGGAGUGCUCAGAGAUGGGUGUGCCUCUUUUGGGGUCGGUUCACAGGUGGUGCAUGGCUGUCGUCAGCUCGUGUCGUGAGAUGUUGGGUUAAGUCCCGCAACGAGCGCAACCCUUGUUCACUGUUGCCAGCACGUUAUGGUGGGGACUCAGUGGAGACCGCCGGGGUCAACUCGGAGGAAGGUGGGGAUGACGUCAAGUCAUCAUGCCCCUUAUGUCCAGGGCUUCACGCAUGCUACAAUGGCUGGUACAGAGAGUGGCGAGCCUGUGAGGGUGAGCGAAUCUCGGAAAGCCGGUCUCAGUUCGGAUUGGGGUCUGCAACUCGACCUCAUGAAGUCGGAGUCGCUAGUAAUCGCAGAUCAGCAACGCUGCGGUGAAUACGUUCCCGGGGCUUGUACACACCGCCCGUCAAGUCAUGAAAGUUGGUAACACCCGAAGCCGGUGGCCUAACCGUUGUGGGGGAGCCGUCGAAGGUGGGACUGGUGAUUAGGACUAAGUA
RNAcentral lists this ribosomal RNA (1434 nucleotides) under uncultured organism. Its description in RNAcentral is "partial small subunit ribosomal RNA". It matches the Rfam family "Bacterial small subunit ribosomal RNA". The record is from RNAcentral.